CGGAGCAGCUGGCGCAGCGGGACCCGGUUCAGGACGUGUGGGAGCAGCACGUCUUCCCAGGGCAGGUCCAGGAACCUGCGAGUAAAGGGGCGUUGGCACUGGCGUCCCGGGGCCACUAUUACCUGCGAGUCCGCCUCCGUUAUGUUCCUGCGCCCCAGCUCCCAAGAGCGGCCCCCAGACCCAGCCCCGGCUCGGCUCCCCUCCCUCAGGUUCCUCUUCCCUCUCGGCCCCUCCGGUGCUCGGUACCUGACGGCUCCGGGCUCUUGCUCCCCUCCGGACGGCUCCAUCGGUGGCUCCAUCGGCUGUCUAUUGCGCGUGCGCAGUAAGAUUUUCUCGCUUUGGCCUUGGAGUGGCCGCACCAAACCCGCCUCCUUGGCCUGUAGAGACAGACCUAUUUAAUCGAGUGCCGUCUCACCGAGGAUCCGAUCUGAAAGCUUUUCGGGUGGACCCCGAAACGGAGGCGGAACAGACCGGUGGUGUAACAUUAGGCCUUGCCUUCUCGGCUACAGGGCUUGAGGCCUGAAGCUGGAGAAUGCGGUGGGCAUCAGAGACUGGCUUCUGUCGUCCUCUUGAGCCAGUAGCCGCCUCUGAGCGAAGUGGUGGUGGGAGGAGCAGGCAAGGCCCAACGCGGAGGGGGCGGAGCCAGGACUCCUAGGUUACCGGCCUCUCCUCUGCCCUCUGGUCGCGUUUAGCGACUUUGAAAAACGGGGAGAAACUAUCCAGGCUCUUACUGUCUGCCACGUAGCAGGUCCCAGUCCCAGGAUCCGCUUCGGGGAACCCCAGGAGUAGCGCCUUCCCCCAUCAUCCACGGGAUGGGUGUGGGGGGAUGUGAAGGACGCGAGAGCCACUGCACCGCUGACGGUCUGGCGCUCCUUCGGUGCAACCGCUUCAGCUGGCUCAUCACAACGAAAACCACUUCUCAUCUGUUAUCUCGUCAAGGCUUCGGGCACCUCUGAAAGGUGGGCAGGUCUAUGCUAUCACUCCAUUUUAAAGAUGGGGAAACCGAGGCCCUGGAGAGGAAGCCCCUUGUCCAGAAUCAAGCCAGACGGGAAUAGAGAACCCAGACAUCUGGUUUUCCCAGAAUUCCUUCCACGUUUCCCCACCCCGCAAGGCAGCGAGAAGGGAGAAGCUAGCAGCGGGGAAAGACAAGAAAGGGGUCAAGUUAGGUGAGGGCUUGCUAUCUCUUCUUCCUCAGCCUGCUUAGGGAGGGGGUAGCUGGGAGGACAGACCCCUGCAAAGAUAGAGCCACGUGAGCGCGCACCACCUCCGGCCGCGCGCCUCGUCCCCCUCCCCUCUUUGUUCGCGUCUCU
RNAcentral lists this long non-coding RNA (1310 nucleotides) under Pan troglodytes (chimpanzee). RNAcentral describes it as "long non-coding RNA NONPTRT002328". The record is from RNAcentral. Lineage: Eukaryota; Metazoa; Chordata; Mammalia; Primates; Hominidae.